This 1754-nucleotide long non-coding RNA is filed under the name Solanum tuberosum (potato). RNAcentral describes it as "long non-coding RNA (STUB_LNC001240)". Lineage: Eukaryota; Viridiplantae; Streptophyta; Magnoliopsida; Solanales; Solanaceae. The record is from RNAcentral.
CGGCAGCAACCAAACAGAGUAAGACCACAACGUCUUCACGCUAGCAGGAAAAUGACAGAGCCAUUAAAUGCUCGACAGCAGCCAACGUCUCUCUCUACAGCACUAUAGCAGGCACGCCUCUGUCCUCCUUUCCCCUUUCGGAAUGAACCAAAACCUCAAAGAAAAGGUGUUCAGCCGGAAGGGUGAAAGGUUUUGAAGUUUUUUGAAUUUCGAAUUGGACUUUUUGAAUGGGAUUUUUAUUUCUUUCCCUCCGAAAAAAAAAAAGAAAGGGGAACCCUAGAUAAUCCCUAUAUGUAUUCCCUUUUAUUCACUGUUGAAAGGGGGGAUUUUUUUAUUUUUUUUGGAGUCGAAAUUUUGAGCGAAAAUAUAGAAAGCAACUUGAGUGGAGGUAGUUUGAUAAUACUCUAAAGGGAGGAAAUCAACUCGUUCAGGGUCUUUGCAUUUCCUUUUCUCCUCGUUGACGUUCACUACUCCGUCACGAGUUCCUUGGAACUCGAGGGAACUAUUGGGAUAUUCUUGCCCAUAUUUCUUUGCCGCUGUUUGAGUCCCGGAGUUGGUGGUAAAGUCGCGGUUCUCAUUGCUCGUCUAGUCUCAAAUCGCUGCCCGAAAAGAGGUAAACCCCUCUUCGCUAUUUGUUUUAGCUCUUAAUUUCCUCUGUGAUUUCGUUCAUGUUCUUAACAAGAGUAAUGUUGAAAUUGAAAUUUUAGAAUGAUAAUUUUGACACUUAUCUCUGCCUAAUGAAUGCUAAAUCGUUUCUUAAUGUAAAGUUAGUUGUCGAUUAAUUCUUUAUUGGUUGUGUAACGUUGUUUUUCGGUUAAGACGGGAUGUCGUCUCUAGUUACAUGCCUAGAUUUUUUUUUUGAUUUGUGUCUCUAUGUUUCAUCAUGAGUCAACUUUCUUCUCGUUUAAGUUGAAAUUUCAGAUUAUGGUGUGUUUCAAAGUUGUAUUCGUUUGAAUGUUGGUAUUCAUAGACAAUAAGUAGAGCUUCAUUUAUAUGAUGUUGGUUCAUAGGUUGAUUAUUAUUCUUCAUGUGUUUAUGGUAUGAUCCCCGGACUUUUUUUUUAAAAUCAUUUGCCCCCUCUCCCCUAAAAUUAUAAGAAGGAUGAAUUAAUGAUAAUAGCUAGUGUCUUAUUUAUAAGAUUUAAAUUUGAUCUUUUAUGGGCUGUUUUCAAUUCGAUACCGCGCCUGUUCGAACCUUGAUGCCCUUGCCUGUUUGUCUUGAUUUCGUAUAUACUUCAAAGUCUUGAGCAAUCAAUCUGUGAGAUUUUGAACUUAUCCCUUCUCUGUUUAAAAUACUAAAUCAUUUUUUUCUUCUAUUUUUAUGUCUUGUGUUCUUAAAAUAGCAUGUUCAUUUUUAGUUAUAGGAAGGACUUAAGGUUGGUAAGUUUGGAAAAUGUUUGCUGCCUGUGCUUUUGUCAUUUGUUGUUACAUAUUCUCAAUAUAGUAGCUAUAGUUAGUUGCUUCAUUUAUCUUAUUAAAUGUUUUGUGCAGUAAAUCUUUCAUAUACUAAUUUGUUCUCUUUCUUUGUUGUGAACCCAUCCGAGUCCAUAUUGGACUAAACUUCCGCAUUUCUCCGAGUUGGUUUCCUCUCGAGUCGACCCCCAUCCCUGUUCGGAUUUUGUUUUUUUAGAAGCUGAAAUACAGAGCUGAUGAACAGAUGCACAGAUUUUUUUGAAAUCUCUUAAGGGGCUGCAUACCUGCUGGUAUACACUGGUAUACAGAUUUUGUAUACAUGGUAUACACGGAAAAANNNNN